AUCUGUCACUUGAGGAUGGGCCUGCGGCGCAUUAGCUAGUUGGUGGGGUAACGGCUCACCAAGGCGACGAUGCGUAGCCGACCUGAGAGGGUGAACGGCCACACUGGGACUGAGACACGGCCCAGACUCCUACGGGAGGCAGCAGUAGGGAAUCUUCCGCAAUGGGCGAAAGCCUGACGGAGCAACGCCGCGUGAGUGAUGAAGGUUUUCGGAUCGUAAAGCUCUGUUGCCAAGGAAGAACGUCUUCUAGAGUAACUGCUAGGAGAGUGACGGUACUUGAGAAGAAAGCCCCGGCUAACUACGUGCCAGCAGCCGCGGUAAUACGUAGGGGGCAAGCGUUGUCCGGAAUUAUUGGGCGUAAAGCGCGCGCAGGCGGUUCUUUAAGUCUGGUGUUUAAACCCGAGGCUCAACUUCGGGUCGCACUGGAAAC
This 430-nucleotide ribosomal RNA is filed under the name Paenibacillus sp. HXH0002. RNAcentral describes it as "bacterial SSU rRNA". It matches the Rfam family "Bacterial small subunit ribosomal RNA", at positions 210 to 633 of the family's 1533-position model. Lineage: Bacteria; Bacillati; Bacillota; Bacilli; Caryophanales; Paenibacillaceae. The record is from RNAcentral.